AUUAUGGCUCAGGAUGAACGCUAGCUACAGGCUUAACACAUGCAAGUCGAGGGGGCAGCAUGUUGGUUGCUUGCAACCAAUGAUGGCGACCGGCGCACGGGUGAGUAACGCGUAUCCAACCUUCCCCUUAGUAGAGGAUAGCCCGGCGAAAGUCGGAUUAAUACUCUAUGUUCUUCAAUGCGGACAUCUAAGUUGAAGCAAAGAUUUAUCGCUAAGGGAUGGGGAUGCGUCUGAUUAGGUUGCAGGCGGGGUAACGGCCCACCUGGCCUACGAUCAGUAGGGGUUCUGAGAGGAAGGUCCCCCACACUGGUACUGAGACACGGACCAGACUCCUACGGGAGGCAGCAGUGAGGAAUAUUGGUCAAUGGGCGCGAGCCUGAACCAGCCAAGUAGCGUGCAAGGACGACUGCCCUAUGGGUUGUAAACUGCUUUUAUCAGGGAAUAAAGUGAGGCACGCGUGCCUUUUUGUAUGUACCUGAUGAAUAAGGACCGGCUAAUUCCGUGCCAGCCGCUGC
RNAcentral lists this ribosomal RNA (515 nucleotides) under uncultured bacterium. RNAcentral's name for it is "bacterial SSU rRNA". It matches the Rfam family "Bacterial small subunit ribosomal RNA", at positions 16 to 518 of the family's 1533-position model. The record is from RNAcentral.